This 334-nucleotide unclassified non-coding RNA is filed under the name soil metagenome. RNAcentral's name for it is "partial contains 5.8S ribosomal RNA, internal transcribed spacer 2, and large subunit ribosomal RNA". The stretch from base 1 to 120 matches the Rfam family "5.8S ribosomal RNA", at positions 35 to 154 of the family's 154-position model. The record is from RNAcentral.
GAUGAAGAACGCAGCGAAAUGCGAUAAGUAAUGUGAAUUGCAGAAUUCAGUGAAUCAUCGAAUCUUUGAACGCACAUUGCGCCCGCCAGUAUUCUGGCGGGCAUGCCUGUUCGAGCGUCAUUUCAACCAUCAAGCCCCCGGCUUGUGUUGGGGACCUGCGGCUGCCGCAGGCCCUGAAAACCAGUGGCGGGCUCGCUAGUCACUCCGAGCGUAGUAAUACAUCUCGCUCAGGGCGUGCUGCGGGUUCCGGCCGUUAAAAAGCCUUAUUUACCCAAGGUUGACCUCGGAUCAGGUAGGAAGACCAGCUGAACUUAAGCAUAUCAUAAGCGGAGGA